AUGAGGCUGGACUUUCAGAUGUGGAAACAACGCCUGAAAAGGGGAGGCGGAAUUGCGGACCUCCCCUCUGAUUUCAAGGAGAAGGCGCCCACCGGCACCGCACCGCACCUUACCGGUUCCUCUCUGCGGCAGCAAACUCCUCCCAUCCAUCCCUCGUCCAUCCUGGCUCAGGCGCGAGAGGGUGGAGAUGAGGAGGAAGGCGCUCGCACGGGGCUUCUCCGCCGACGGCGUUCUCCGCCGCAGCCGCCCGCUCCCAGCGCGCCGCCGGCCACCGAAGGGGACAAUAAUAGCACGAGCAAGGACAAGAAGAAGGGCGAGAUCGCCAAGACCAUCCGAGACAGGCUAUCAUCGUCUUUGUCUUCCCCCAGAAGCCGCCUCUCCUGCUGGACGAGCCACCCGAUCCGGCGGAGCAGGAGGGGGAGCGGCACCGCCAGCGACGAACAUGGCACACCGGUGAACGUACCGAUGCCAGUGACGGCGAAGGCAAUCAGGCCCCCCUCAAGGAAGGCGAUCGCGGCAGGGACCAGAUCCCUGAUCGAACGCAACGAUUUCUACAGCCAAGAAUGCAACACGCACAAGUAG
Molecule: ribosomal RNA, 582 nt
Filed under: Triticum aestivum (bread wheat)
Lineage: Eukaryota; Viridiplantae; Streptophyta; Magnoliopsida; Poales; Poaceae
Description: partial small subunit ribosomal RNA
Source: RNAcentral